RNAcentral lists this ribosomal RNA (627 nucleotides) under Fusarium nectrioides. RNAcentral's name for it is "eukaryotic LSU rRNA". It matches the Rfam family "Eukaryotic large subunit ribosomal RNA", at positions 1 to 651 of the family's 3401-position model. Lineage: Eukaryota; Fungi; Ascomycota; Sordariomycetes; Hypocreales; Nectriaceae. RNAcentral also lists the same sequence under 4 other names. The record is from RNAcentral.
UUGACCUCGGAUCAGGUAGGAAUACCCGCUGAACUUAAGCAUAUCAAUAAGCGGAGGAAAAGAAACCAACAGGGAUUGCCCUAGUAACGGCGAGUGAAGCGGCAACAGCUCAAAUUUGAAAUCUGGCUCUCGGGCCCGAGUUGUAAUUUGUAGAGGAUGCUUUUGGCAAGGUGCCUUCCGAGUUCCCUGGAACGGGACGCCAUAGAGGGUGAGAGCCCCGUCUGGUUGGACACCGAGCCUCUGUAAAGCUCCUUCGACGAGUCGAGUAGUUUGGGAAUGCUGCUCUAAAUGGGAGGUAUAUGUCUUCUAAAGCUAAAUACUGGCCAGAGACCGAUAGCGCACAAGUAGAGUGAUCGAAAGAUGAAAAGCACUUUGAAAAGAGAGUUAAAAAGCACGUGAAAUUGUUGAAAGGGAAGCGCUUAUGACCAGACUUGGGCUUGGUUGAUCAUCCGGCGUUCUCGCCGGUGCACUCUUCCAGUUCAGGCCAGCAUCAGUUUGCCCCGGGGGAUAAAAGCUUCGGGAAUGUGGCUCCUCCGGGAGUGUUAUAGCCCGUUGCAUAAUACCCUGGGGCAGACUGAGGACCGCGCUUCGUGCAAGGAUGCUGGCGUAAUGGUCAUCAGCGACCCG